CCCUUAGAUGUUCUGGGCCGCACGCGUGCUACACUGAGUGGAUCAGCGGGUCAGGUUGCGCGAAAGCGUUUCCUAAUCUUUAAAUCCGCUCGUGAUGGGGAUUGACGGUUGCAAUUUUCUGUCAUGAACGAGGAAUACCUUGUAAGCGCGGGUCAUCAUCCCGCGCUGAAUACGUCCCUGCCCUUUGUACACACCGCCCGUCGCUCCUACCGAUUGAGUGUGUUGGUGAGGAGUUUGGAUUGGCCUCGGAAGGUGGUUCGCCACCGUCCGUAGCUGAGAAGUUCUCCAAACCGCCCCACUUAGAGGAAGGAGAAGUCGUAACA
This 323-nucleotide ribosomal RNA is filed under the name uncultured eukaryote. Its description in RNAcentral is "partial 18S ribosomal RNA". It matches the Rfam family "Eukaryotic small subunit ribosomal RNA", at positions 1470 to 1796 of the family's 1831-position model. The record is from RNAcentral.